GCCGAGGUAGCUCAGCAGGUUGAGCAGCUGUCUCGUAAACAGCAAGUCGCUGGUUCGAUCACAGUGACGGCG
Molecule: transfer RNA, 72 nt
Filed under: Cutibacterium avidum
Lineage: Bacteria; Bacillati; Actinomycetota; Actinomycetes; Propionibacteriales; Propionibacteriaceae
Description: tRNA-Thr
Rfam family: tRNA
About the family: Transfer RNA (tRNA) molecules are approximately 80 nucleotides in length. Their secondary structure includes four short double-helical elements and three loops (D, anti-codon, and T loops).
Source: RNAcentral